CCGAAACGAACAGGUAGCAUGAACCAAACAACACUGAACAUCAAAUAAUUAAAUGUGGAAAUGUUUUAAUAAACAAAAACAAGUCAACAGUUUUAUAUUGAAAAAUAUUGGAAUUAAUAACUUGAAGUUAAACUUGAAGAAGAGGUAAGACUAAGAUAAAACAAAAAAUGUAGCCAUAAUGUGUGAGAUUUCAUAUUGGAAUAGUACUAUUUGAAUGCUCCUUUUCUUACAUGUAUAAGGGGAUCAAUUUAAAUAGUGUCUUAAAGUGAACAUUGUAAAAAUACACUUAUCUUUUAAGCUGUGGUGAUCUAAUACACAAAAUGGGCUUUACACAUUUGUACAUGUUAUAUGCCUACUGUCAUUUUCGGUUCAUUUUUAAAAUAUAAAAAUUUAAAAUAAAACUUUUUGAUGCACAUUGUUCUAUGAAAAACUACUACAAUUAAAAUAAAAAAUAAGAACUGAACAUGAUAUAUAUUAUAUAGGACUUCACAUUCUUAUUCAUUUUUAGUGUUAAAAUGCUGAGAGAAUCUAAUAUUCAGAUUCAUUAAAUGUACAGGUCUAUAGUUUUUUUACUAUUUUUAUUAAAAUGAAUUACAUAUCUUGUCAAUCUAUAUUUAUAAUAAUACUGAAUAUAUAUAUAACAAAUGUUUUCCAAUGCAAUGUUUUUGUCAUACUCAUUUAUCGUAUGUUUAUACAUGUACAGUACUACAUGUAGUGUAAAAGGAGAUCAAAAUCAGGGGCGGAUGCAGGAAUUUUCGAAAGGGGGGGUGCUAACCCAGGGCAAAGGGGGGGUGCAAAACAUAUGUCCCGAUACAAAUGCAUUGAUCGGCAAAAAUAAAGGGGGGGUGCGCACCCCCGGAACCCCCCUGGAUCCGCCACUGAAAAUAUUUUUUAAAUCAACUAAUUUUGCAGAAAAGGACAUGGGAUCUAUUAUGAAUUUAAUUGUGUCCUAAAUUAGAAGAUAUUCAUCGAAUAUUUGCUACUGGACCUUAAACAAAUGGCAUGAAAAUGAAAUGCCCACUAGUCUACCAGCAGCAUUCAUGCAUUUAGCUAAUGUCCUCUUCAAACAAAAAGGUACUCUUGUAAAUAGACAACUUUCGAGUUCGAUGCAUUUCCGUCAAAAACUCUGGUUUUAGUGAACGUCAUUUGUGCGUUUAGGGGCGUCGUCACUUCCAUUCCAAUGUUGAGCGAGUGGUUGGAAAACUAUAAUUCUAUAUUGUACGAAUUAUUCGGCAAAUUGAAUUCUCAAAAUUGACAAUCAACAUUGCUGUCAUUAGGGAAUUGUCAUUAAGUACCUACAGAACAUCCAUUAUUUCUAGUUUAUCCUGCACAAUGACGAUCACUAAGACGCUCGAUGAACGUAAAUAGUGCAGGGAUACAGGCGACCCCCUCUAUCUGGUAAAUGACGUCAUAAAGGCGCGUAUAAUUGACGAGUUUUUUCCGGUGACGGAUGAACUCGAAAGUGGUCUAUUGUACCAAACAGAUUCAUAUCAGCUUAUGACGGACAGUUACAAAUCUACAAUGCAAGGAUUGUAGAUCAGAGUGCUGUCGCAAAAUCUCAUACAUGCACAUGUAGGUGAUAACCAUGCUUUACAGUGAUACAACUAACACCAGUAUAUUUAUAAGCAAAUUCCUCUUUAUUGUUUUUUGUGUAUUUUAUCACACUUAGUCAAUAGAAACACAUUUUAAUGAUCUCUAGAGGUUACUUCUUAUGUUAUAUCAAAUGGUAUGCAAACCCAAACAAACUUUUAGAUUGUUAUUUACACAGACAAAGACAACUUAGCUGACAUCAUGCCGGGAACUUUCCCAGUGGCCAGUAAAAUUCUACAUAAAUAUGAACAAGACAGAGCUUACAGAUUACACAGACAGAAAGUA
Molecule: long non-coding RNA, 1875 nt
Filed under: Mytilus galloprovincialis (Mediterranean mussel)
Lineage: Eukaryota; Metazoa; Mollusca; Bivalvia; Mytilida; Mytilidae
Source: RNAcentral